RNAcentral lists this ribosomal RNA (392 nucleotides) under Cohnella sp. CIP 111063. RNAcentral describes it as "bacterial SSU rRNA". It matches the Rfam family "Bacterial small subunit ribosomal RNA", at positions 1153 to 1533 of the family's 1533-position model. Lineage: Bacteria; Bacillati; Bacillota; Bacilli; Caryophanales; Paenibacillaceae. The record is from RNAcentral.
CGGUGACAAACCGGAGGAAGGCGGGGAUGACGUCAAAUCAUCAUGCCCCUUAUGACCUGGGCUACACACGUACUACAAUGGCCGGUACAAAGGGCAGCGAAGCCGCGAGGUGGAGCCAAUCCCAGCAAAGCCGGUCUCAGUUCGGAUUGCAGGCUGCAACUCGCCUGCAUGAAGUCGGAAUUGCUAGUAAUCGCGGAUCAGCAUGCCGCGGUGAAUACGUUCCCGGGUCUUGUACACACCGCCCGUCACACCACGAGAGUUUACAACACCCGAAGUCGGUGGGGUAACCCGCAAGGGAGCCAGCCGCCGAAGGUGGGGUAGAUGAUUGGGGUGAAGUCGUAACAAGGUAGCCGUAUCGGAAGGUGCGGCUGGAUCACCUCCUUUCUAAGGAG